This 281-nucleotide long non-coding RNA is filed under the name Eucalyptus grandis. Its description in RNAcentral is "long non-coding RNA (EGRA_LNC001966)". Lineage: Eukaryota; Viridiplantae; Streptophyta; Magnoliopsida; Myrtales; Myrtaceae. The record is from RNAcentral.
AUGCAUAUAUCACCAUGCCAUAGGUGCACAUACAACCAUGAUUCAUAUCAUCCAUGCUAUCAAGCAUACAUCACCAUGAGAUCCAUUCAUGCCUUCAUGAUCGCAUUUUCAAUAUCAAAUAGCAUCAAUUUAUUUUCAUAAGCCGAUCAUGCAUCAUGCCAUAUGCAUACACCCAUGCACAUGAUUCAUUUUCAAUUCUUAUCGUUCACAAGGAUCUCAUCAGUUUUUCUUUCCAGGGACCAAUGUUUGCAUCCCACAAUUCAUUGCUCGCAUCCAACCAG